GGAGGCAGCUGGCCAUUGCAGCCAGCCUUUAAAAUAUGCCCAACCUCAGGCACACGGUGGACGGUCGGAGGCUGCAGUGUGGUGUUCUGCGAGUCUUGUUCUUUUGGACGUGGGUUUAUUCCUACUCACACACGCGCUCAGUGGUGAAAACCUUGGUCCUGGUCAGCAUUGCUCCCCUAGCCUGAGGCUACAGAGGCUCUGUAAUUAUCCGAACAUGAAAUGCUGAAACAAAAACACACUUGUCAGCGUACGCUGGUGGUGAUGUACACACACUCUUAAAAGGAUUAGUGCUCAGUCUCCUCAGGCUAUUACUCUUUUGUUCAGCCUGAGAUCCUCUUUCGCGUUUCAAUGUGUGUAAAGGAAUUUUUCCUUAAAGACGUCCCUACCAUUUAUUACAGCACAGGUGCCAAACUCGAGGCCCCCUUCGAAUCCGGCCCGCCGGGGGGGGGGUCCAGUGCGGCCUGCCGGAUGACUCUGUUAUUACCGUCUGAGGGAUUCCUCCAUGAGUCCAUGUUAAUUGGUCGGCUUCAGAGCACCUGUCUGCAUUUCACUUGCCAGAGGCUGGGGUUACGACACAUCCUGGCGUCUUUCACGCUGCGCCAUGUGGUGACAGGUGCUGAGUCUGCGGUGGUGGAUUGGUGUCCCAGGUGGUGGUGUCCCUCUUAUGUUAUUAUUUAGCAUGUUGUUUGAGUUGCUUCACUUUUAGUUGUUUCACGUAUGGUGGUCCUUUUCUUUGCACCGUCCAUAAUCGUAAGUCUCAGCCCUGAUUGGUUACCCC
Long non-coding RNA from Gasterosteus aculeatus aculeatus (three-spined stickleback), 778 nucleotides. The record is from Ensembl. NCBI's taxonomy places the organism in Eukaryota, Metazoa, Chordata, Actinopteri, Perciformes, Gasterosteidae.